CGUUUCUCCGUUAAACCUCGUUACAAGCGCAUUCUCUCGCAUACGUCAUUUCUUCGCAAUCGGAUGCGCGACGCACAGACACUCCCGUAAUGAAUUCCUCUGGUGGCGGGACGUUAAGAAACGGUCGGAAAAACGGUCGCGAGUGCUGGAAUGCUGAACGCGAAAGGGGAUGAUGGUAUGAGAGGAGAGGAGAGGAGAGGAGAAAAGGAUAGACGAACAGCAGAAAGUCUUGUCGCCUCGAUGGAAAUGAAUUUUUCAUUUCGCGCUAAACUCGCGAAACGGUUGGUGGCUUAAAGCGAAGAUUAAAGGGCGGCAGCGUGAGCUUCUCCUUUUUCUACUUCAUGAAGUAUAAGAGGAAACGACGGGGGUGGUGCCGCCCCAUUAUUUUUCAUUGCUCGCAAGCACGAUCUUUUCCCAUUUUCCCCUCGUUUCUUCCUUCCUUCUUUCCUUCCUUCCUUCCUUCCUUCCUCGUUUGCUUCUUACUCUUUUUAUCCAUCCCCCUCCUCCUUUUCCUUUGCGCUUUCCAUAGACUUCAUUGAGAAGUCCUGCUCAACCGUAUCCUUAAACUUGUAUUACCGGGUGAAUUACGAAGAACGAAGCUGCCGCUGAAGAACACGAUCCUCGUGGAUUAUUCAAUCGGACCGCGCAAUUUGUUUCGCUGGUUUGGUCGCCUCCCUUUCUCAAUAUCGCGGUCGUCGGCUUUCGAGGUAAAGGUACAGAAAGAGAGAGAGGAGAAAGGAGCGCGUGUUUGCCAGGUAUUGUGCCAAGUCCAGCGGAAAACGCGUGGAAUCGGUGUGCAACCUUUAUGGGGCAGGAAAGUAACGUUAGAUUCGAUAAACAUCGAGCGGAGAACGAGAAUACAAACGUUUUCCCGUCGGCGGUUACGUUCCGCCGCCGGUGCUCGUGCUUCAAAGGAAGUUAUUCGAGUCGCGCUAAAAGGACACGCAGUCUCGCGUACAAUACGAGAAAAAAAUAUAACCGCGGGGAAAAAUGCGGUCAACGAGUAUCGUCGAACGAAAAACUCCGGUAAACAGUCGGGUACGGUGUUCAAGGCGAAAAGAAAAAUCGCUUUUAGCAAUAGCGCGCUUCUUUUUCUUUAUUUUUAGAUUAAAAGACGUUGGUCGUUUGAACGAGAGAAAUACAGGGGCGACAACUCGCUAAUUGAAAUACCGACUGGGUAAUCGGCGGAUUCGUCGUUUAUAUUGGAUGGUGGUUCGACCGCUAUCGAACGAUAUCCAUAAGCGUGGAAUUACGGCGUUGUAUUUCUCCGGAACUGGCUUUGCACACGUCCUUUCGCCAGAUGCCGUCUUCCCGAUAUCGUCUUCCCUUUGACCGGAGUUAUUACUUAUACCACGAGGGUAUCGGCGGUUUAUUUUGUCGACGACGUAAGAGACGUCGGCGGCUGAGGUGAGCAAAAGGAACGACGAAAAGAGAGUAGUAGCAGUGCAAAGAGUGAAAGAGACAAGCCAAGUGAAAGAGUAAGAGAGUGGAGGAGGAACGGAUGGAAGGGAGGGCGAAGGAUCUCUCCGCAGAUUAGAGCGCGAAUCAAUAUUGGGCAGCGAGGCGAGGCUUUUAUCGGCGCUGAAAGAAAUCCCCUCGCUUCCUUCUUCGAGUGGGCACCGACUUGGAAUGGAAACCAGUGGUAGAGAACCGGGCAAGGAAAAACGAAGGAGACGGAACGAGAGUAUGGAUAGAGAGAUACGCGUAUAUAGGAGAGUAGUUCGGGGGACGGAGAUGGAAAAAAGAGACAGAAUGGAGAGUGACGGAAAGAGACACGAAAGAUGAAGAGGGGAGCGACGAUGGAGACGAAGGAUAAGCACGAAGGGUAUGAGGAGAACUGAAGAGCCCAUGGAAGGAGGAACUCAGCGGAGAAAGGGAGAAGUAAGAGGACGAGGAUUCCGUUCGAGCAACUUACCGGACUUCUACGUUCUCUCCACGGUCGAGGAUUUACAGAUUACGCGCUGGUAGACCGAGCUCCUGAGUGCGACCGAGAGAGAAACCUAUCGAGAGUGGCGACGCGCGAACGAGCAAGGGAGAGAACGCGAGAAUCGGCACGAGCGAGAAGGAUGGUAUAAAGGAAUGACACGGAGAGGGAGUCAAGGACCAUUCGGCGCGAUGAGUGCGACGAAAACGGAGCUAUCGAGUCCGCGCGGACUCGAACGGGUGCCGGUGACUCGACCAAUCAGAGACUAGCGUUCUGACCAGCCGACCAAUCCGAUGGCGCUGCGAACAUUACACGUUUAUUAUCACGCGGGAAAAAGAAAUGACUGUUUAUAAAUAAUUAGAGAGGUUUUAAUUAACCCUCGGGAAGCUCUCGGACCGCCGGUAUCCAUCGCUGUUUUAAUCGCUCGGUCGGUUUUACCAUGGACGACGACACCGCCUCCGCCACCGCCAGCACCACCACCGUCUGUUCAAUCUAUCCCUACUCAUAACGAAACCGCGUUAUAUUUGUAAAACUAAACCAUCGAUCGGCAUCGGUCAUUAAAGGCAACCCUUGUUCUCGUUUUCUUCGCUGCCAGACGUCUUGUGUCAAGGUGUCUUUGAUGCAUAUGUACGCGUAUACAUGUAUAUACUUGCAACAGUAUAGAGUAUAUUUACCUACACGAUUUAUCUUUUCCCACUUUCUUUUUUCUUUUCUCGAUGACAAGAAUUUUGCUUUUUUCCUUUCUUUUCGGUAUCUGCGCGGUACACGUCGAAACGAAACAUGGGAACGCACGCUAUAUUAUUAGAAAAUGUUGUGUUCUGGUCCUCUCUGAGCGUAUACGUCGACUCGUGAAUUCGUAUGCACUAUUUUCCCGUCAAAAAUUCAUCUGACCGUUUUUGACUGCAUCACGUUAUCCAACAGGCAAUUGCCUUCCGAUGGAUAGAAUCGCGGCCUCUAAAACCUUUCCAAAAGGCCUCCAAUGGCGCGGACACGACAAAAGGGAAAUCAAAGCAUCGUCGAAGAGUUUUUACGAUCGAACGCCCCGCUUUCGUGGCGAGGGGUUCUUCAGUUUAGCUUCCUCGCUGCUUUUGGCUGCCACCGUCUCGAAUAUUUUAUUCUCCUCUCUCGUUCACCGUAUCUUUUCCACGCUGGAUAAAAGAUGCUCCGUAAGAUCCUUCUUCGGUUGGUUGGCCACGUUCGUGCAAAUUCACAUAUACGCAUACACAUAGCGCUUACCACACACACACACAUACACAUACACACAACGCGUGCACAUACACAGAGAAUAAACUUUCGCACCUUCUUCUCUGUGAGUAAGAUUUAUCGGGAAGAAAGUUGCCACGACAAAGGGGUAAAUGACUUUCGAAUAUCUCAGCUUUUCGAACGCGUCAGCUGUGAGUCAGAAUCUCGAGCGUGAGGGCGCUGCGAGCGACGCCAACGAUAGUUCCAACGAUGUUCAUAGAGCUUGUCCUAUUUCGAAACGAGUCUUCCUAAUCUGAGAAGAGUGGUUUCAAAGAGAAGGAGAGGUCGAGAUUUUCAUUCGAAAAGCAUCACGUAAUCCACACACGGUCUCGUCAACUCCAUGAAAUCGUCCAAGUUCACUCACGGUAUUUCCUAGACGAAUUUAACGACGACACAUCAGAGAGUUCGUGUAUGCGCUACCAACCGUUUGUACCACUAAAGAGGUCGCUGCGGAAACUCGAUCUUUCCGGAAAGUUCUACGAGUUUGUUCGAAAGAAUCAUAAGAUUUUCAACUGUUGUGUUAUCGAAAAUAGAAUUUCCGAUUGUUUUGCAUUGUUCAAUACUUGUUAAAUGGAUACUAAGUGAUUUUGAAGAAAAUUUGGUUAAAAUUACUUUUCCUUAUGUACCAGAAAAGAUAAACGCAGAGAGCCCAAACACGCAGAGAAGAGGACGAACGAAGAUAAAGGAUACAAUGAAAGAGGAGGAAAAAAGAAAAAGGCAAGAACUGGUGUCGCGAGGAGCAAGUCGUCGAGACGUCUUCAUCGUUCCACGAUUCGAAGCCGUUCGUCAUUUCCGGUGGGCAAGACUCGCGGCUAUCUCUUCGUCUCGCGAGUCGAUCGUCGAAUUUGUUUUGCAAUCCCGGCGCCUCGUUUAUCGUUGGUACACAUCGUGUACCGUCCGAGAGAUAGAAGACCUCGUUCCUCGAGGUCCAGGGUUUCGUCCGGUCGGCGAAAGGGAAUGCAUCGAACGGCCGGCUCCGGUCCCUUUUUCGCGUUUCCUGACCGGUAUCUGCACGUGUAAGGACAGGGCAAAGCAGAUAGCGGCGUGGCGAGCGUGUCGAUCCGUUUAUCGAGCCGUGUAUUUACGCGCGGCGUGACUCGUAGACGCGCGUUCGCCAGAUAACCGCGAUAAUAUAGAAACGCCAAUAAUGAAAUACGAUAAGCCGGGCAUAGAAUUUGUAUACGACGGCCCGUCGUGGAUUAAAGAGCUGUUAGCAUAAUCUGAACGACUCUAUACCUAUGUCCCAACAAACAGGCGCACGGGGGCAAUUAGAAACGCUUCUCGUUCGUCGUACACCGCUGCGUGUAUAUAAUCCACGCACGCGGCCGUAUACACUGGGAGUACACAUCGAGAGGCAUAGAACGGGCUCGAUACAAUGAAGAUCGAGAUACGUAAGUAUUAUGCGCGAUUUGCUCGACCGGGAUAAACCUUUCGCGCGUUUCCCCGCGAAUAAAUCACGCGACGAUAGAUUGACACGCGUUCAAUUCUUUUGUUCCCUUUUCGAAAUCGAAGAUUCCACUCGCUCUCGUUGAACGUCGCUAAUCGUCUCGUUUUACGCUUACAUCGUGCUUGUCGCUGACUCGACGGGACCCUUCUUCCCUCACCCUUCCCGGUCCCUAGUCCGUAUCCCCUCCCCUUUCCAUCGUAGUUUUAUCUCUGUCCGCCAGGGGGACGGGAACACGCGUCGUCGCAGGACUCAGGUAGGGAGCAAAGUCAAUUUCGAGGCGAGAUGCCACGGGGUUAAUGGGUCUCCUUUGUCGUAAAUUCGGGCUUUAGUGUGAAAGCUGCCUAAACCUACCUCCGUUGCUCCUUCCUCGCCAGAGGAGUCCCCUUCGCUUCGUGCCUCUGGGAGCCUUGUAACAAACAGGAUACAGCUAUCUCUCUUCCGCCCCCUCCAUCUGUCGGCAUCGCCUGCCGCCACAUCGUCGAGCGAUUUAUUAUCCGACCGUUCCACCUCGGGCACCGUUCUGCUUAGCCGCUGUUUUUUAUUCCUGGUGAAUAAGGGGAGUGAGGGAGCCGGGAUCAAGCCGGAGUGUGAGCGGUGGAGCGGAGUCAACGGGUGAGGGAAGGAACGGGAAACACGGCGGAAACUGGAGAACCAGAGGAGAGAGGAACUGGUGGAAAAGAAGAUAAAUCGCGACAGUUGCCAACCUAAGAAGUUUGAUUAUGUUGGCUCAGCCGAGGCUACGCUCGGUUAGAUUUGUAUUAAGCUCGCGCCCGCCCAGCGUCGACGGGAAUAUGCUUUAUAAGCGUAUCGUGGCGUGCUCGAGCGUUUCGAAAUCUUAGAUGGUCGAAAACAGGGGAAGAAAAACCUGGUGCGUAAAGAAAAAGUACGUAAAGUAUACCCAACGUCCGAUGCAUUUUCUCGUCUCUCUGAUGUUUCAGAGCUUCCUUACCAUUUCAGUGUACGUCAUUUUCAAUAUUAUAAUAAUAACAAAAUAUUGUGUUAUUGUAAAUAGAAAAACUUUAAAGAUAGUUCUUUAUCAUAAAUCAUUUUUUCUUUUUUCUUUUUUUAUUUCCUUGCUUGAAAGAUUGUUAACAGGUUCUUGUUUGAUUUGCAGGUUAUUAAAAUCCAGAAAGAAUGAGGAAAUAGCAGAGAGAUAUGAGGUCAUUUUUUUUCCUCAUCAAAAAUCCGCGGAAUAUCGUUUUUGUUAGGGGAGAUUACGUUACAAGAUAAUUCAAAACAUUUGUUACUAGUUACACAUAGUUGUUGCGUGGGUGGUGUAGGUGUUUAGUCUGGGGAAUGUUUAGAUCCCUUCCAUGGUUUCACUCUGUGAAGUGGAGUUUAUGCGUAAACGAUAGGGUCUUGACAGAUCGUCUAUUCCUGGUAUACGAAAGUGUGAACACUUGAAAGCACUUCCCGUUUCUAAGAUACGUGUUUUUAAGAUUAUAGAAACGAAAAAAAAAAAAAAACAUACGUAUCUUCAAUUCGGUUACAUAUGUUUGUAUUCAAAUGUACAAAUAUUCUUUAAAAAAUUCUUUUCUCAAUCUAUAUCGAAGUAAUCACUCUCUUUAUCUUGUUUUUUUAAUCAGCAUAAUAAAUAUUGACUUUGUGUUCAUAAAAAUAGUCCAGAAAUAGAUUCGAGAUUCAUUAAAAUUUUUAUCAUCAGUUUCAUUCUAUUCACACUCGUACAAUUUCCUUUUAAAAUUUUAUAAUUUUUCGUUGAUCUUAACCUUUUGCUUAUAAAUUAUUACCAUAUCAAGAUGUACACUGAUAUAUCAAUUUCUUUUAUUUUUUUUUCUUCUAUUUUUUUUCCACUUCAAAAUUAAUUUCAAGGAACAUUCUCGUAAGCGUAAUGAAAAUUAUCAAUUCGAUAAACGUCUUUGGCCAUCGAUGAUCUAAGCGAACGCGUUAAACAAGGUUAUGGUUCAAUUCAUGCUACAUAAGCGUGCAGAUACGCUUAUACGCGCGCACACGUAUGCAAAUCGGUCUGGUUUCCAGUAAACUGGUGUAUAUCAGUUUCACAAUUACGAAACAGGGAGGAAUUGCUGGAAGAUCAGUUUCCUAAAUGAAACAAAUUAGCGGCGUAAUGGACGGCAAAUGCGGCGGGACUACAUUUUCACGGAGAUCGUUUCACAGAAAUACUGGUAGCUGUCGAGAACUUCGGAGAUUAAGAUAAUUUUAUUAACGCCGGCCUUUCGCUCUGGCUAUGCUAUUAGCGGAGAAUGUUAAUGGCCCGUUGUGUAUCGAUCGUGCGGAACGAACGAUUUCACUCGGCUAGGUGAGCUAAAAAUGUUUAAUAGACACGAGUUAUGUGUGUUUCUCUCGUCUAAUGUGCUUUAAUCGCGCCGAUUAACGGAUCUCGCCGAUCGUGUCGACCUGUUUUCCAUCGCCAACUAGAACUCUCUCGCGCAGAAGUGGGUUUAAAAUUAUCGUAAUUUUAUUAUUAUUAUCUCAGGAAAGUAUCUAUCUCGUUGCGGGAAAGAAUAAUUUUGUUCUCACAUUGAUUUAAUCGAACUUAGUAAUUAAAUCUCAAAUUGAAUUCCGCAUUUGUUAACACAACGAGCGGUUAUAAUAUUUCACUCGAUUGUUAAUCUAUUUUAUUUUCCAAGGGAAAUUCUUAGAUCUUAUUAUUUCCAGAAUAGACGCUUUUUUAGAACGAACGGCUAUUUAAAGAUAACCUAGAUUUUACUUCACGGCUUACGGUAAAAUUGUUGAAAUCGACUUUUGUCCGGUGCUUUUCGGCGCAAAUACCCCACGCCUCGUCCCCGAAGAGCGGUACGCCGCGCAAAAACAAAUGAUCCGCCGCUUCCAGCCGCGAUAAAAAACCGGCGUCUGGAUUAAACGUGCCUCUUGAAUAGAGACGUUUUUCUGUAAUGGAAGGUUGGUAGCCCGUAAAGAGAAUUCAUCCACGACCGAUCGAGCACCUGCCCGGGUGAGCGCGCGCGCAAGGGGCCCACAAAGGGCUGCCCGGAACUUGUGAAAAUAAUUCCUGCCUCCUCGAGGCUUGUGCAUGGCUACGCGCCCCAUUACAAUGACGACGUGUACACUAUAUACGCGUUCCCCGGCCGCUUUUAUUUCCUCCCGUCGUCGUUUUAAACGGGAUCGAGGGCAGGUGUCUUUAUUCUGAACGAUCCUGUAUGUCCUUGCCGGCUAGUUGCCAUUUAACGCUUGGACAAAGCGCGAUCCGGGUUACGGGCAGACAGGCGCGAACGUAAUUGCCCGCUAAUUAUUUUCAAAUUGAACGUGGAAAGUUUCGAGGAAUUCGACUCGCGGAGAAGUUGUUUGCCUAGCCGAGCGCACUUUUCGAUCCGCUACGAGCCUCCAUCUCUCUCUCUUCUCGAGCAAUGAGCUCGAGUAACGGAUCGUUUUAAUCGGUUGGCUUAGGUUCGUUGAUGGUGCCUGAUUGUUUGGUAUGUUAAUUGCGUUUUACGGGUGGGGAAUUUGUGGCCUGUCAAAGGAAUUUUAAUCUCGUUGCUUGAAAGAUACGAGUCAUUGUUCGUAACAUAACAAAUUCGGAAUUAUAUACAUGUGUUAGGUCCAAAAUGAAAUUUCGAUAUACAUUUGUUUAUUUACGGAAGAAGGAUUACGAGGCUUUCGAAAUGCGUAUGCACUUAAGUGUAAUAAAUACACGUGGAAGGAAAAUGUGCACGAUCGCUUCGGGUCACCGGUCGAAACGCCCGAGCUCGUCUUCGAAUUGACCGCACUCGAUUCUAGAGUGGCGUACGAGUGGUUUGGUUCAUGGAUGGACGAGCACGUUUCAUUGUGACCGGGCUAUUUGCGAAUUAUCGCCCCUCAGCCACCGAAACUGCUCUCUUGCACUCUUAACCGUAACGACGGACUCGCAAUUCGUUCGUAAUGGCGACUCUCUAUUAGAUGCAGUUUAAGUCUGUUUCGCCGGGACAAUUUAGCCGUCGAAUUACCAACACGCCCGUAACGAGCCUGUGUGCCUAUAAAAAAUACUUUAACCACGUACUCGAGAUUGUAAUCCUCGAUCCGUUGAAUCCGAAGGAUCUUAAUCUAAUGCUCGCCGCUGGCCUCUUAUUCGUCGUUGAAAUUUCUUUUCCUUCCUUAUUUUUUUUUCUUUCCUUUUUUUUUAUAACAUUGAUAAAAACAAGCAGUUAUAUAGUUGAGGGACUUGUAAUGGGGAGAAUUGUAUAGCAAUGCAGCGAGAUAAUGUUUUUGCCGAUGUUUAAUACAGCGAGCAAUUCGAGCAGAAUGAUGAAAUUCCCGCAACACGAUCGAACUGGAUUCUAGGCAAUUUUUUUGCCAACGUAGACCGAUUAUGAUAUUUUGUGUUUAUUCUUGGAUUUUUUCUUCUUUCCAUCCAUUAUUUUAUUUUACGUUCAAGAAAUAAUUUUCUUCUGUAAAAAUAUAUAUAUAUAAAUUUACAUAUUAUUAACAUAUAUUAUAACGAAUAUUGGAUUCUUUCAUAAUUGAAUACAUUUUCAAAAUUGUUUCCUUAAAAAUUUCCUGAUGUAACGUGAUAUAAAUAAUUAAUUAUCCGUUAAGCAGAUAAUAUUUUUAUGACAUUUAAUAUGUCGUGUUAGAAUGAACUUGAACUUUCUCUUUUUGAAAUUCGCGCACAUUAACAACGAAUUAGGCCGCAUUUCCUUUGCAGCGGCGCGCGCAUAAAUUCGCGGUGCGCACAGGCGGGCUUCCUGUUGCGAUGUUACGCGACUUCCACAUGUUUAUUGCCUACAGUCGCGGUCACAAAAACGUAGGGGAGAAUUUGGUUAAUUAAAACCGCGCAAGCGGCGUGGUCUCUCGCUCAGAGGAAGCACACUGCACCGCACCGGAAACGCGGCCGUCGGGACGCGUUCUCGUGUUAAAGCGUCCUCCCCCUGCUCUGACUCAGGAAUUCAAUUUUUAAUUUCGCCCGUCACGGACGUGGCCGCUUUGUAAUUUCGCGCUGUUUGAAAUCGUGACGCGUGUUCGCGCCCUUCCACCACAUCGACCACGAGAGAUUCGCUUCUUCACCGCCACUUCCGUUAAUGGAAAUGUUUUCUUUGUUACAGAUUUUUUCUAACGCGUGAAAAACAAUAGAUAUUCGAUUUACAAAAAAUAAAAAAUGAAUAAUAUAAACCUGAAAGUGAACAUUUUUGCAAAUAAUUUUAAAAUUUUUUAAAAAUAAAUCGUGUUAAAAUGUUUUUUUUUAUUUGUUGGAGAUACACGAUAAAUUAAGAUUUCAUCUUAACCUAAAAACUGCCAAGGUUAAAUAAUACGGAAAUAAGAAAAAAUAAUGUAAUGAGAAUAUAAUAUUGAAACAGUAUAUAUAAGUAUACGUAUGCACUUCUGCGCUGUAUUUAUCGAUAUAAAUAUAUUGGACACGCUUAUAAGAAACCCCCCUUCGCAUUACGAUAAAUGGCGAUGAUUUUCAUUUGUUCAUAUGCCGAUAAUGAGACGACGCAUCGCAUUAAAUUUCAAAAGCUAACUUUGCAUUCUUUUUCGUUUUUCCCGCCCAUUUAAGCUACCUCUACUCAUGCUUCUUUCCUUUCGAUAUAUUUUAUCGACCGUGAACCAACUUCUCGCCAGUCGAUCGAAAUUAACGAACACUAGUAUAGAGGUUAGAUGGUGGUAUGAGGUAAAAGAGGCUUGAAGUGGUUUUUGCACGAUCGCGGGAUCGUUAGUCUCGAAGCGAGAAAACGUGCAUUAGUUUCUGGAUUGUUAGACGGAAUGGGAAUAUCUGUGCAAUGAAUUUACUGAUUGCAUGCUGAGACUUGAUGUGUGUGUACGUGUAAUUGAGAGUUUGUGAGACGAUCGUGUAGGUGGAUACGAUGGAAGAUUGUGGAAAUAUAAAGCUAAAGAAGUAUAAAAUACCAUGUGCAGCUGUGAUGUAUUGGAAUGUAAGAAAAAUUGAGAGGUUAAUGGUCAAGAAGGUUAUGUUUGGUUAAAAUCGAAUUACGACAAUAUGGCGUGUUGCGAUGUUUCGCGAGAAAUGUGGUAAAAUGAGAAGUUCAAACUUGUGCAAUGUGUAUAAUUUUAAAAAAUAACUAGAAAUGAAUCGGACAAAAAUACCUAAACUUGACGAUAGACCGGUGAAUAUUUUUUCGUUUUCUCUAUUUAUCUAAUUAGCGAAUCGCGCGUCAAUCGUUAGAUGAACGUGAUCUUGCGAAUUUUAUCGACGACAUAAAUAUUUGUCUUGGAUAAUUCCUCAUUCCGACAUCCCUAAUUACCUUUGGCGUAAUGCUUACACGUAUGCCAGUCACGUACAAGUUAUAAACAUCGUGUACGCCUGCAGGUGACUGUAACAGCUCGAGAUAAUCAAUCCGCGCGCUUGCAUUCCACAGGACGAAGCCUCCCGGCCGUGUGCAAGUAUCUCGCACAUUAAUGACUCAUUAUCGCUGUACCGUUAUGGUCUUCGUCCGUGUUCGCGGCCAAUGCGUUACAGGUCGCGGAAAAUCUUUUCAUAGGUGUACAUCACGGUGCUGACAAACUCGAGUUCACCAUGCGCAUUAAUCCAAAUUUACCGGAACGUAUACGCUUUGGAUCCUUGGGAAAGAUGACGUUGGAACGUUCGUGGUUGUAAUUAUGACGUGUUCAUCUAAAAAUGAAUGAGUUAGAUUAAUUGUUGUGAAUUCGUGAAUUGAGAUGAUUUUUCACGGAGAAGUAUCGAAAGCAGGUUCAGGAAAAUAUUUCUUCUACGCAGUUAGUAAUAGAAUCAACAAACAAAAGCGUUUAAACAACUAUGCGUUUGUACAUACCUUGCCAUUAAUACCACCGACGCAAUGUUUAUAAAUCGUAAAUCAAAUAGGAACACACCAAUUCAUAUUUAUGUACAUACAUCGAACAGCAUGAAAUCCAGUUAAUAGUCAAACUACACACGAACUCCACAAAUUUCUUAAUCAAUUUUCCUGAAAAUAAAUAAUUAUAUAAGAGUCUC
Apis cerana (Asiatic honeybee) is the source of this 11490-nucleotide long non-coding RNA. RefSeq lists it as uncharacterized. NCBI's taxonomy places the organism in Eukaryota, Metazoa, Arthropoda, Insecta, Hymenoptera, Apidae. The record is from RefSeq and is a predicted model, not a curated record.